ACACGACUACAUUAGAUACCCGGGUAGUCCUAGCCGUAAACGAUACUCGCUAGGUGUCGGCCACGGUGCGACCGUUGUCGGUGCCGUAGGGAAGCCGUGAAGCGAGCCACCUGGGAAGUACGGCCGCAAGGCUGAAACUUAAAGGAAUUGGCGGGGGAGCACCGCAACGGGAGGAGCGUGCGGUUCAAUUGGAUUCAACGCCGAAAACUCACCAGGAGCGACGGAUAUAUGAAGGUCAAGCUGAUGACUUUACCUGAUUUCCG
This 263-nucleotide ribosomal RNA is filed under the name uncultured archaeon. RNAcentral's name for it is "partial 16S ribosomal RNA". It matches the Rfam family "Archaeal small subunit ribosomal RNA", at positions 717 to 982 of the family's 1478-position model. The record is from RNAcentral.